CAGCCGCCGCGGGAAUACGUAGGUCCCGAGCGUUGUCCGGAUUUAUUGGGCGUAAAGCGAGCGCAGGCGGUUAGAUAAGUCUGAAGUUAAAGGCUGUGGCUUAACCAUAGUACGCUUUGGAAACUGUUUAACUUGAGUGCAAGAGGGGAGAGUGGAAUUCCAUGUGUAGCGGUGAAAUGCGUAGAUAUACGGAGGAGCACCGGUGGCGAAAGCGGCUCUCUGGCUUGUAACUGACGCUGAGGCUCGAAAGCGUGGGGAGCAAACAGGAUUAGAUACCCCAGUAGUCCCUGUCUCUUAUACC
This 301-nucleotide ribosomal RNA is filed under the name uncultured bacterium. RNAcentral describes it as "partial 16S ribosomal RNA". It matches the Rfam family "Bacterial small subunit ribosomal RNA", at positions 509 to 808 of the family's 1533-position model. The record is from RNAcentral.